CUCUGCCUCUGUUUUUUCUCAAGCUCGCUUCAAAUGGGAAGGAACCGUAGUCGGAGUCGGAGCUACAGCCCCCGCCGCAAUAGCCGCAGCCCCCCUCGCCGGAAGCGAUACGACGACCCACGCGAUCGCUACCGUGGUGGGCCAAGUCGCAGCUUCCGGGACCGGCGUGGCCCGCCCUCGGGCCUCCUCAUCCGCAAUAUCUCUUUAGAUGCUAGGCCAGAGGAUCUAAGAAUCCCUUUUGAACGGUUUGGUCCUGUGAAAGAUGUUUAUCUUCCAAAGAAUUAUUACACCGGGGAGCCAAGGGGUUUCGGGUUUGUUAAGUAUCGAUAUCCUGAAGAUGCAGCUGAAGCAAAGCUCCAGAUGAACCAUCAAAUUAUUGGAGGACGUGAAAUUUCAAUUGUGUUUGCUGAAGAAAAUAGAAAAACUCCUCAGGAUAUGAGGACGAGUGCUCGAAUAAGCAGCGGGAGCGGAAGAUACAAUGGUAACAGUAGAGGACGCUCUCCACCAAGAUCUCCAAGACGUCGGUACAGAUCUUAUUCACGGUCCUCAUCACCAAGGCACGAUUCAAGAUCAUUAUAUUGAAAAAAGAUAAAGAAUGAUUGGAUUGUAAAGACUUUAAAGUGAUUGAGAGAUCCAAAGAUUUUGCCUCUCUUAGUUUCCCAUCUUUUGAAGCUACCCCUGAAGUGGUCAUCGUUGAUUAAUCUUCAACGACAUAAUUCCCCUUGAUCACAUGUUACAAAGAUAUUAAAGCUUAUAUUUACAAAAGAUAAAGGACUGGUGAUCUGCAAAAAGCCUGGGAGGUGAAAAGCCUUUUAUGCUAGAGCAUGGAAGUUAGUUCUCCAUUGCUAUCAUACAUUUGUUCAAAAUAAAGGAAUGGUUCUAUGAAAGAUGUGGCAAAGAGCUCGGAAGUGUAUGGACCAAAGAAACUAUCAUAAAUUUGUUCAGUUUCUAUGGAGUAUGGAAAAUUUUCAGAGGACGAGAUAGGUCCACUCGGGAUGAGUACUACUCUCCGCCAAGAUCCCGCACUCCUCCAGGCGAUGAAGAUCAUUACAAAUCGCCAAAAAGAUCACCGAGUCCCGAGGCAAAUGCUCCACACUCAAGGUCCCGCUCCU
Dendrobium catenatum is the source of this 1112-nucleotide RNA transcript. It is a transcript of the gene named serine/arginine-rich SC35-like splicing factor SCL28, with no coding region annotated. The transcript is spliced from 8 exons. The record is from RefSeq and is a predicted model, not a curated record. NCBI's taxonomy places the organism in Eukaryota, Viridiplantae, Streptophyta, Magnoliopsida, Asparagales, Orchidaceae.